Molecule: ribosomal RNA, 207 nt
Filed under: uncultured bacterium
Lineage: Bacteria
Description: partial 16S ribosomal RNA
Rfam family: Bacterial small subunit ribosomal RNA
Source: RNAcentral
CUCGUAGGCGGCUUGUCGCGUCGGCUGUGAAAGCCCACGGCUUAACUGUGGGUUUGCAGUCGAUACGGGCAGGCUGGAGUUCGGUAGGGGAGACUGGAAUUCCUGGUGUAGCGGUGAAAUGCGCAGAUAUCAGGAGGAACACCGGUGGCGAAGGCGGGUCUCUGGGCCGAUACUGACGCUGAGGAGCGAAAGCGUGGGGAGCGAACA